Molecule: ribosomal RNA, 254 nt
Filed under: uncultured bacterium
Lineage: Bacteria
Description: partial 16S ribosomal RNA
Rfam family: Bacterial small subunit ribosomal RNA
Source: RNAcentral
UACGUAGGGUGCAAGCGUUGCCCGGAUUUAUUGGGCGUAAAGGGCGCGUAGGCGGCUACGCACGUCCGUUGUGAAAUCGCUCGGCUCAACUGGGCGGGGUCAGCGGAUACGGUGUAGCUGGAGCAAGCUAGGGGGCAAUGGAAUUCCCGGUGUAGUGGUGGAAUGCGUAGAUAUCGGGGAGGAACACCAGUGGCGAAGGCGGUUGCCUGGAGCUUUGCUGACGCUGAUGCGCGAAAGCGUGGGGAGCGAUCCGG